UUAUCCAUUUUCUAAGUGGAUAAUAUGGUUCUUAUCCAUAUUUGACUCAUUUUUAAAAAGUUCAUUAUCCAAUCCAUUUUUUAAUGGACAAUAUGGUGGGUAAUUAUUUUCUUUUAACCAUUUUGUCACCAUCAUCUACCCGCAUGCCUAGGAUUAGACAUCUGGAGCAUGGAUAAUAUAACAUGGAGGUCCAACAUCAUGUAAA
Molecule: long non-coding RNA, 205 nt
Filed under: Nicotiana benthamiana
Lineage: Eukaryota; Viridiplantae; Streptophyta; Magnoliopsida; Solanales; Solanaceae
Description: long non-coding RNA (NBEN_LNC028698)
Source: RNAcentral